GGAAGUAAAAAGUCGUAACAAGGUUUCCGUAGGUGAACCUGCGGAAGGAUCAUUACAGAAUUUUGAGAAUUGUGCUUAACUGCACUUUUCUUAUCUACACACGUGUUUUUGUUUUAUUCUUAAAACUUGCUUUGGCAGUGGCUGCUUAAUUGCUCUGCUGCCAGAGGAUAAACUCAACCUAAAUUUUUUAUUUUAAACUAGUCAACUGAUUAUAUUUAUUAAUAGUCAAAACUUUCAACAACGGAUCUCUUGGUUCUCGCAUCGAUGAAGAACGCAGCGAAAUGCGAUAAGUAAUAUGAAUUGCAGAUAUUCGUGAAUCAUCGAAUCUUUGAACGCACAUUGCGCCCUCUGGUAUUCCGGAGGGCAUGCCUGUUUGAGCGUCAUUUCUCCCUCAAACCCCCGGGUUUGGUGAUGAGCAAUACGCCAGGUUUGCUUGAAAGUUAGGAGGAGUAUUUAUAACAAUGUAUUAGGUCUAACCACUCCAUUGUGCUUAAUAAAAGCUCCAAUCUAUAUUUCAAACUUCGACCUCAAAUCAGGUAGGAUUACCCGCUGAACUUAAGCAUAUCAAUAG
RNAcentral lists this ribosomal RNA (571 nucleotides) under Lodderomyces elongisporus. RNAcentral describes it as "eukaryotic LSU rRNA". The stretch from base 230 to 383 matches the Rfam family "5.8S ribosomal RNA". Lineage: Eukaryota; Fungi; Ascomycota; Pichiomycetes; Serinales; Debaryomycetaceae. The record is from RNAcentral.